GGGUCCGCACAAGCGGUGGAACAUGUGGUUUAAUUCGACACUACGCGAGGAACCUUACCUAGGCUUGACAUGCAUUUGACAGUUGUAGAAAUACAAUUUUUUAGGCUUCGGCUUAGACAGAUGCACAGGUGGUGCAUGGCUGUCGUCAGCUCGUGUCGUGAGAUGUUGGGUUAAGUCCUCUAACGAGCGCAACCCUUACUUUCAGUUGCUCAUCGCGUAAGCGAUGCACUCUGAUGGGACUGCCUGGGAAACCAGGAGGAAGGCGGGGACGACGUCAAGUCAUCAUGCUCCUUAUGUCUAGGGCUACACACGUGUUACAAUGGUCGGUACAAAGGGCUGCAAUACCGUAAGGUGGAGCCAAUCCCUAAAGCCGAUCUAAGUUCGGAUUGAGGUCUGCAACUCGACCUCAUGAAGUUGAAAUCGCUAGUAAUCGCGUAUCAGCAACGACGCGGUGAAUACGUUCACGGGCCUU
This 472-nucleotide ribosomal RNA is filed under the name uncultured bacterium. RNAcentral's name for it is "bacterial SSU rRNA". It matches the Rfam family "Bacterial small subunit ribosomal RNA", at positions 917 to 1382 of the family's 1533-position model. The record is from RNAcentral.